AGCGACAAUGCGUGGAGGGCACAGCGCUGUGCCUGCCUUCUUCUCUGGCCACGAUGACUGAGCUGGGGAGUCAGCACUGGGCCCUGCAAACCAGGCGUCCCACUGCCUUACCUGAGAGUCAAGUGCUGGAGCUGGCCGUUCUCCCCACAGCACCUUAAAGACGGGAGAAAGCCAACCCUGCUGUCAGCAACCCUGAUGAGAUUUUUCCCAGAUUAUCAUCUAAUGGAAAAGAAAUCUCUCUCUCCAAAUGCAAGAAAUAGAAGAAAACAUCCUAAAAUUCAUAUGGAAUCUCAAGGGACUCCAAAUAGCCAAAACAAUCUUGAGAAAGAAGAACAUAGUUGAAGGACUCACAUAUCUUUUUUGUCAAAACUUACGAC
Molecule: long non-coding RNA, 377 nt
Filed under: Equus caballus (horse)
Lineage: Eukaryota; Metazoa; Chordata; Mammalia; Perissodactyla; Equidae
Description: lncRNA (ENSECAG00000049360.1)
Source: RNAcentral